This 497-nucleotide ribosomal RNA is filed under the name uncultured bacterium. RNAcentral describes it as "partial 16S ribosomal RNA". It matches the Rfam family "Bacterial small subunit ribosomal RNA", at positions 28 to 507 of the family's 1533-position model. The record is from RNAcentral.
GAUGAACGCUGGCGGCGUGCCUAAUACAUGCAAGUCGAGCGAACAGACGAGGAGCUUGCUCCUCUGACGUUAGCGGCGGACGGGUGAGUAACACGUGGAUAACCUACCUAUAAGACUGGGAUAACUUCGGGAAACCGGGGCUAAUACCGGAUAAUAUAUUGAACCGCAUGGUUCAAUAGUGAAAGACGGCUUUGCUGUCACUUAUAGAUGGAUCCGCGCCGCAUUAGCUAGUUGGUAAGGUAACGGCUUACCAAGGCAACGAUGCGUAGCCGACCUGAGAGGGUGAUCGGCCACACUGGAACUGAGACACGGUCCAGACUCCUACGGGAGGCAGCAGUAGGGAAUCUUCCGCAAUGGGCGAAAGCUUGACGGAGCAACGCCGCGUGAGUGAUGAAGGUCUUCGGAUCGUAAAACUCUGUUAUUAGGGAAGAACAAAUGUGUAAGUAACUAUGCACGUCUUGACGGUACCUAAUCAGAAAGCCACGGCUAACUACGUG